Molecule: long non-coding RNA, 199 nt
Filed under: Phoenix dactylifera (date palm)
Lineage: Eukaryota; Viridiplantae; Streptophyta; Magnoliopsida; Arecales; Arecaceae
Description: long non-coding RNA (PDAC_LNC021354)
Source: RNAcentral
UGUGACGAGCAGUCAUAAACUUAGUGACAGGAUUUUGGUUAAUAAAAAUUGAUUUUGCUCAGAGCGUUUGUAACAAAUUAGUGACGGUAACCUUAUCUUGAGGGUCAGUGACGGGAUUAAUGAUAAAUAUAGUGACAAAAUGUGUGACCAUGUUUGUGAGGACUAAAUCUGUCACUGAAGGUUGUGACAGAUCAGUGAC